This 329-nucleotide long non-coding RNA is filed under the name Mus musculus (house mouse). RNAcentral describes it as "RIKEN cDNA 1600020E01 gene". Lineage: Eukaryota; Metazoa; Chordata; Mammalia; Rodentia; Muridae. The record is from RNAcentral.
AAUAAAUAAAAUGCAGGCCUGACACGGGAUUUUUAAAAAACUGAGUAAUGGCAGGCAGCAAGACAAUCCCAGAGAGAUGAAUGAAGUGAAUGACCCAAGGUUACACAGGAUGGAACCUAUAUCUUCUGAUUUCUCUACUGGCCUGCACUCCACGUUCUGAGGAGGAGUCCUUGAAGCUACUGAGAUAAUGGAACAAUGGAGUAGAUAGUCCAUUAUAACUCAUCUGGGAUUCUUCUCAACUUCAAGUGACCACAGGUGGAAACAUGGUCUGGUAACACCACGCUUCCGGAUGUGAUUGUGGAGCUGGAUUGCUUAACCUGGGCUAAGUC